RNAcentral lists this ribosomal RNA (468 nucleotides) under uncultured bacterium. Its description in RNAcentral is "partial 16S ribosomal RNA". It matches the Rfam family "Bacterial small subunit ribosomal RNA", at positions 28 to 507 of the family's 1533-position model. The record is from RNAcentral.
GACGAACGCUGGCGGCGUGCUUAACACAUGCAAGUCGAACGGAAAGGCCCUGCUUUUGUGGGGUGCUCGAGUGGCGAACGGGUGAGUAACACGUGAGUAACCUGCCCUUGACUUUGGGAUAACUUCAGGAAACUGGGGCUAAUACCGGAUAGGAGCUCCUGCUGCAUGGUGGGGGUUGGAAAGUUUCGGCGGUUGGGGAUGGACUCGCGGCUUAUCAGCUUGUUGGUGGGGUAGUGGCUUACCAAGGCUUUGACGGGUAGCCGGCCUGAGAGGGUGACCGGCCACAUGGGGACUGAGAUACGGCCCAGACUCCUACGGGAGGCAGCAGUGAGGAAUAUUGCACAAUGGGCGGAAGCCUGAUGCAGCAACGCCGCGUGCGGGAUGACGGCCUUCGGGUUGUAAACCGCUUUCGCCUGUGACGAAGCGUGAGUGACGGUAAUGGGUAAAGAAGCAACGGCUAACUACGUG